Papaver somniferum (opium poppy) is the source of this 1066-nucleotide long non-coding RNA. RefSeq lists it as uncharacterized. The record is from RefSeq and is a predicted model, not a curated record. Lineage: Eukaryota; Viridiplantae; Streptophyta; Magnoliopsida; Ranunculales; Papaveraceae. The transcript is spliced from 3 exons.
CAACAAGGGCCAAAGUGGAGCUUCCUUUCUGGCUUUCUCAAGAGUUACACUUGAGACAAGCAGUAUCAAUUAAUCUUCCUGCCUGCUUCAAUCAAAAAACUAGAAAGCAAGUGCAGGCUGAUGUUGCAUAUGUGGAUUUGAAAAAGCGCUGCCCCUAUUUCUAUGAGUUUGGAUGCAAGGUUGCACCCGUGUGAGUAUAUCUCUGUCCACCUAUCCAUUACUUCUUCCAUAACUGAUACUACCUCCCAAGGGAAUCUUGAACUGCCUACUUUUCCCCUUUUCUUUAGUCCCCAGUUUGGCAUGUUACUUGAAUGGUCUAUUAGAAUCCAUUAUACGCCAUCUCUGCUCUUAAGCAAAGCAUAUGGGUUACAUGUUUGAUUUAGUAUUAAGUUUAGACUUUUGAGCAAUAUAUGUACUUUUUGAUUAAAUAGGAUUGGCGAUAGAACCAUUGGGUUGUUUCUCCUUUACGCUUUUAAAGGCAGGUACAAGGAUGUUCUGAGCAAGGCGCAUAGUGCAGCAUUUUCUGUAGCUCCCAAGUUCUUGCCACUUCUAACGAAAGAAGAAACUCACUUAUAUGAUGCAGCUCAGUCUUCAAUGACCGCGUACAAGAAAUGGCGGGUUGGUGGGCCCAGGUUCGAGAGAGCCGCAAUUUUGAAGAAGAGAAAAUCGAAUCGGUAGAUUCAAGCUCUGACUGUAUGAUUGAUCUUUUCCCCUAGGAAAACCAAAGCUGCACAGGUCUGACCUAGUAGGGAACAAAAAAACCUGAAGAAAGAGAUGGCUUUUGUGUUCGCCAGAUCAAUGUAAUGUAGCUUUUACCUUGUAGUCAAGUUAAACAAAAUAGAGAAACUAUUUCAAUGCCAUGAAAUGAAGAUGAGUUUACCUCCCUCCUGGAAGCUGGACAAUUUGACUGUUCCACUUUUUUUUCGUCUUUGGGUUAAUACGGAAUUUUAUUUUCUUUCAAGUUUUAUAAGAAAGAAGAUAGACUGAACUAAAAUUCACAUUGAUGGUCCAACAUGAAUCUGUUAGAAUUUCCCCUGCAGUUUUGUCUGCUUUCCAGAUAUGAAUU